GAGUUUGAUCCUGGCUCAGAUUGAACGCUGGCGGCAGGCCUAACACAUGCAAGUCGAACGGUAGCACAGAGAGCUUGCUCUUGGGUGACGAGUGGCGGACGGGUGAGUAAUGUCUGGGAAACUGCCUGAUGGAGGGGGAUAACUACUGGAAACGGUAGCUAAUACCGCAUAACGUCGCAAGACCAAAGAGGGGGACCUUCGGGCCUCUUGCCAUCAGAUGUGCCCAGAUGGGAUUAGCUAGUAGGUGGGGUAACGGCUCACCUAGGCGACGAUCCCUAGCUGGUCUGAGAGGAUGACCAGCCACACUGGAACUGAGACACGGUCCAGACUCCUACGGGAGGCAGCAGUGGGGAAUAUUGCACAAUGGGCGCAAGCCUGAUGCAGCCAUGCCGCGUGUAUGAAGAAGGCCUUCGGGUUGUAAAGUACUUUCAGCGAGGAGGAAGGCGAUACGGUUAAUAACCGUGUCGAUUGACGUUACUCGCAGAAGAAGCACCGGCUAACUCCGUGCCAGCAGCCGCGGUAAUACGGAGAGUGCAAGCGUUAAUCGGAAUUACUGGGCGUAAAGCGCACGCAGGCGGUCUGUCAAGUCGGAUGUGAAAUCCCCGGGCUCAACCUGGGAACUGCAUUCGAAACUGGCAGGCUUGAGUCUUGUAGAGGGGGGUAGAAUUCCAGGUGUAGCGGUGAAAUGCGUAGAGAUCUGGAGGAAUACCGGAGGCGAAGGCGGCCCCCUGGACAAAGACUGACGCUCAGGUGCGAAAGCGUGGGGAGCAAACAGGAUUAGAUACCCUGGUAGUCCACGCCGUAAACGAUGUCGACUUGGAGGUUGUGCCCUUGAGGCGUGGCUUCCGGAGCUAACGCGUUAAGUCGACCGCCUGGGGAGUACGGCCGCAAGGUUAAAACUCAAAUGAAUUGACGGGGGCCCGCACAAGCGGUGGAGCAUGUGGUUUAAUUCGAUGCAACGCGAAGAACCUUACCUACUCUUGACAUCCAGAGAACUUAGCAGAGAUGCUUUGGUGCCUUCGGGAACUCUGAGACAGGUGCUGCAUGGCUGUCGUCAGCUCGUGUUGUGAAAUGUUGGGUUAAGUCCCGCAACGAGCGCAACCCUUAUCCUUUGUUGCCAGCGGUUCGGCCGGGAACUCAAAGGAGACUGCCAGUGAUAAACUGGAGGAAGGUGGGGAUGACGUCAAGUCAUCAUGGCCCUUACGAGUAGGGCUACACACGUGCUACAAUGGCAUAUACAAAGAGAAGCGACCUCGCGAGAGCAAGCGGACCUCAUAAAGUAUGUCGUAGUCCGGAUUGGAGUCUGCAACUCGACUCCAUGAAGUCGGAAUCGCUAGUAAUCGUGGAUCAGAAUGCCACGGUGAAUACGUUCCCGGGCCUUGUACACACCGCCCGUCACACCAUGGGAGUGGGUUGCAAAAGAAGUAGGUAGCUUAACCUUCGGGAGGGCGCUUACCACUUUGUGAUUCAUGACUGGGGUGAAGUCGUAACAAGGUAAC
RNAcentral lists this ribosomal RNA (1499 nucleotides) under uncultured bacterium. RNAcentral describes it as "bacterial SSU rRNA". It matches the Rfam family "Bacterial small subunit ribosomal RNA". The record is from RNAcentral.